UACGUAGGGGGCAAGCGUUGUCCGGAUUCAUUGGGCGUAAGGCGCGUGUAGGCGGCCAGGCAGGUCCGCUGUGAAAACUCGGGGCUCAACCCCCGAGACGUCGGUGGAAACCGCCUGGCUAGAGUCCGGAAGAGGAGAGUGGAAUUCCCGGUGUAGCGGUGAAAUGCGCAGAUAUCGGGAAGAACACCCGUGGCGAAGGCGGCUCUCUGGGACGGUACUGACGCUGAGACGCGAAAGCGUGGGGAGCGAACAGG
Molecule: ribosomal RNA, 254 nt
Filed under: uncultured bacterium
Lineage: Bacteria
Description: partial 16S ribosomal RNA
Rfam family: Bacterial small subunit ribosomal RNA
Source: RNAcentral